AUGAACACAAAGGCGCGCUCUCUCACAUUUUUCUGAUAUUUAUUCUGCAAAUCAGCUGCAUGAGCCCCUGCCACUCUUCUGAAUAAGCUUCCAGGCAUUACCUGCAUGCUGUGUUCCUGUGGAGGGAUGGCAGUAAUCUCUGCUAAGAUAAACGGGAGCUUCUGUGGAUAAAGCGUAAACGCAGUGAAGUGUGUGUGGCUGUAAGAUUUAAUACCUCUACAGUGCUUAGAUACAAUUUGAGCUUGGAAUUCCAGAGGUAGGGCACUGCUGAUUGGAAGCGUAUUAAGGAAAAUGUACUGUGGAAAUGAGAUAAAACCGUUAUUCUUGCUAUUGAUUGUCAUUCUCGUAUGCGUACAGGUGUCCAACAAAGGGUUUUAGAAUACAGUCUGCCUGUUUAAAGUUUUCCACCUUUCUUAAACCCAGCAAUGAAUUACAAACACCCUGUAUGAACUGGACUGUAUUAAAUCUACUCCUGUCAAAUGGAAACCUU
Molecule: long non-coding RNA, 490 nt
Organism: Carlito syrichta (Philippine tarsier)
Lineage: Eukaryota; Metazoa; Chordata; Mammalia; Primates; Tarsiidae
Exons: 2
Source: RefSeq, a predicted model, not a curated record